This 254-nucleotide ribosomal RNA is filed under the name uncultured bacterium. Its description in RNAcentral is "partial 16S ribosomal RNA". It matches the Rfam family "Bacterial small subunit ribosomal RNA", at positions 524 to 776 of the family's 1533-position model. The record is from RNAcentral.
GACGAAGGGGGCUAGCGUUGUUCGGAAUUACUGGGCGUAAAGCGCGUGUAGGCGGCUUUGCAAGUCGGGUGUGAAAGCCCUCAGCUUAACUGAGGAAGUGCGCCCGAAACUGCAGAGCUUGAGUACCGGAGAGGGUGGCGGAAUUCCCCAAGUAGAGGUGAAAUUCGUAGAUAUGGGGGAGGAACACCGGUGGCGAAGGCGGCCACCUGGACGGAUACUGACGCUGAGACGCGAAAGCGUGGGUAGCAAACAGG